Molecule: ribosomal RNA, 293 nt
Filed under: uncultured eukaryote
Lineage: Eukaryota
Description: partial 18S ribosomal RNA
Rfam family: Eukaryotic small subunit ribosomal RNA
Source: RNAcentral
GGUUGAUCCUGCCAGUAGUUAUAUGCUUGUCUCAAAGAUUAAGCCAUGCAUGUGAAAGUUCAUCCUUUUGAAUGAGAAACUGCGAAUGGCUCAUUAAAUCAGUUAUGAUCUACGCGAGCGAACAACCACAUGGAUAACCGUGGUAAUUCUAGAGCUAAUACAUGCGUAAAGGGUCCUUCGGGAUUCGCACUUAUUAGAUAAAGCCAACGUAAGGGUAAAACCUUUCGCCUUGGUGAAUCAUAAUAAUUUGGUGAUCGUGUAUGCGACACUCGCUCGAUUUUCUGCCCUAUCAU